GAUGAAGAACGCAGUGAAAUGCGAUAAGUAGUGUGAAUUGCAGAAUUCAGUGAAUCAUCGAAUCUUUGAACGCACAUUGCGCCCUUUGGUAUUCCUUAGGGCAUGCCUGUUCGAGCGUCAUUUAAACCUUCAAGCUAAGCUUGGUGUUGGGUGACUGUCCGCCUCACGGCGGACUCGCCUCAAAAUUAUUGGCGGCCGGUACAUUGGCUUCGAGCGCAGCAGAAACGCGAACUCGGGCCCGUCGUAUUGGCUCCCAGAAGCUAUCUUCACAAUUUUGACCUCGGAUCAGGUAGGGAUACCCGCUGAACUUAAGCAUAUCAAUAAGCGGAGGA
RNAcentral lists this unclassified non-coding RNA (332 nucleotides) under soil metagenome. Its description in RNAcentral is "partial contains 5.8S ribosomal RNA, internal transcribed spacer 2, and large subunit ribosomal RNA". The stretch from base 1 to 120 matches the Rfam family "5.8S ribosomal RNA", at positions 35 to 154 of the family's 154-position model. The record is from RNAcentral.